Oreochromis aureus is the source of this 714-nucleotide long non-coding RNA. RefSeq lists it as uncharacterized. NCBI's taxonomy places the organism in Eukaryota, Metazoa, Chordata, Actinopteri, Cichliformes, Cichlidae. The transcript has 3 exons. The record is from RefSeq and is a predicted model, not a curated record.
UGUUGUUUACAAAAAGAAGAAAGAAAAAGAAAUUGCACCUUCUCCUGUUAACAUCUAUGAACUUUCUGAGACACUGAAUUGAGAUUGGAAACAAAGCCCACACAGCGCCAUAUGGGAAGCUAUGCACACCUGCAGUUAAACACAUUAAAAGGAAAGAUGUCACAGACUUUGAUCUUGGACCCAGGAUUUUGACGGUUUGUUUGAUUUUGGAUUUUUUUCCUUGUUUUCUAUUUGGUGGGUUUUGUUGGAGUUUAUGGUUCCUAAUUGAGUUUUGUUCCUUGUGACUUUUUAAACUUAGUUAACAAGUGUUGUUCCUUCUGUGUUGUUCAUUAUUACAACCUUAUCUGUGUGCAUUUGUAUAUUGUUAAGUCUGUCCUUUAGUUUUGUAUCCGUGGUUAUCUUUUGGUAUUGUAUGAUUUUCUUUGUCAUCUCUGUUCUUAGUUCAUUUAUGUUCAUUUGUAUUGAGGCUUUUAGUUCUUAUACUCGGGUUUGUCUUGUUAUCUUUCUGGUAAUUCUGAACAUUUGUGGUUAAAUUUUUUUUAGUUCUGGUUGUUUAGCUCUGAUGGGAUGGAUGUUUAGACACCUUAAUGUUCAAAGGCCUCACCUGCCUUUGUAUUGUCUUCAGUUCAACACACUCCUUAAGACAAGAUCAUUGAUCAUUUUAUUUUAUUAUUAACAAAUUGUUUUUGAACGAUCAGUGAUUACAGCAUGUGA